ACAGAUGGUGGACCUGCUGUGUGCCUCAUAACCCCGGCACACAGACCGCUGCCCUCAUCUCUCACUGACGCAGACAAGGUAAGCUCGCAGCAUUCACCAGCUCAAGGCAGGUGUAUUUAUUUCAAAAUAUCAUCUGUCAUAAAAGGUACCGCAGUAUAUAAAUGGUGCAUCAAGUGCCACAAGCCGUUGCAGAGACCUACAGAGGACCUGGUCCUGAGCUCUCUGCCCUCUCCCCGUUCUUACCUCUAAUGCUCCCACCACGGGGCUCGUUUUUGCCUGACAGCAUUAUCCUGGAUUUAGCACUGGCUCUCAGUGCAAUGACUGGGGCCCUCAUAAGAACAGGAAAGCACCUGGAGUCCCGAGAGGGAGGCUGGAGAGAUGCGGCUGCAGACUCAGGAACCCCGGGGCCACCAGAAGCUGGAAGAGGCAGAAGGGUCCUCCACGAGCGCCUUCAGAAAGCUCCUCGCUCUGCCGACACCUGCGUUUCAGGAUUUCAGGCUAAAGCCUUCAGAACCCUGAGAGAAUGAAUUUCAGGUGUUGUAAGGCCUGAGUUUGCAAUCAUUUGUUAUGGCGGCCACGGAAAACAAACAAAAGGAAAGAAUGUGACACUCACGGCCCUUGUCCCCUGGCCCCCACUUCCUUUUCUGAGCACUCACGAGUAGUUUCUCAUCUCUCUUUCUAGAACCUUCACCUCCAUGUGUUCUUUCCGCAGGUGGUGGCAGUACACUCUGCUCUGCCCAUUCUUUCAUAAUAAACCUGAUGAGUUUCAUAAUAAAACUCAUCACAUAUGAGUUCACCGUUUCACUGUGUAUGUGGCCGCACAACAAGUUAUUUUUCCUAAGUUCACUAAGUUAUUUUUCCUAAUCUUGUGCACCACAAACAAGCUACAGCGAAUGCACCUGCUCACAUGCCAUGUGUCUGAGCCUAUCUACAGGCUGCAUUCCCAGCAGUGGAAUCCCUGGACACAGGGUGGAGGUUUUUACAUUCUAGCAGUUCUGGCUCAGUUGUGCUCUGUCUGCAAUAUAUAUACAAGAGCCAAGGUCCCUGUGCCCUUCCCGGAAAGGCGUGCCCUCGCCCAUCUUGAUCUUCGAUAAUCUAAGUGAGAAGUGGCAUGAGAAUUUGGGUUGACCGUCUAUUUAUAUAAAUAGGAACAAUUUUUAUUUCCUUUCCUGAAAAAGGUUAAAAUCCUUUUUUAUGUUUC
RNAcentral lists this long non-coding RNA (1201 nucleotides) under Callithrix jacchus (white-tufted-ear marmoset). RNAcentral's name for it is "lncRNA (ENSCJAG00000075762.1)". Lineage: Eukaryota; Metazoa; Chordata; Mammalia; Primates; Cebidae. The record is from RNAcentral.